UGGAGAGUUUGAUCCUGGCUCAGGAUGAACGCUAGCGGCAGGCCUAAUACAUGCAAGUCGAACGAUAUCAAGGGGCUUGCUCCUUGAGAAAGUGGCGCACGGGUGCGUAACGCGUAUGCAACCUACCUUCAUCUGGGGGAUAGCCCGGAGAAAUCCGGAUUAAUACCGCAUAAAAUCACAGUACGGCAUUGUACAAUGAUCAAACAUUCAUGGGAUGAGGAUGGGCAUGCGUGUCAUUAGCUAGUUGGCGGGGUAACGGCCCACCAAGGCGACGAUGACUAGGGGAUCUGAGAGGAUGGCCCCCCACACUGGUACUGAGACACGGACCAGACUCCUACGGGAGGCAGCAGUAAGGAAUAUUGGUCAAUGGAGGCAACUCUGAACCAGCCAUGCCGCGUGCAGGAAGACUGCCCUAUGGGUUGUAAACUGCUUUUAUCCGGGAAUAAACCUAUCUACGUGUAGAUAGCUGAAUGUACCGGAAGAAUAAGGAUCGGCUAACUCCGUGCCAGCAGCCGCGGUAAUACGGAGGAUCCAAGCGUUAUCCGGAUUUAUUGGGUUUAAAGGGUGCGUAGGCGGCCUGUUAAGUCAGGGGUGAAAGACGGUAGCUCAACUAUCGCAGUGCCCUUGAUACUGACGGGCUUGAAUAGACUAGAGGUAGGCGGAAUGAGACAAGUAGCGGUGAAAUGCAUAGAUAUGUCUCAGAACACCGAUUGCGAAGGCAGCUUACUAUGGUCUGAUUGACGCUGAGGCACGAAAGCGUGGGGAUCAAACAGGAUUAGAUACCCUGGUAGUCCACGCCCUAAACGAUGAACACUCGCUGUUGGCGAUACACAGUCAGCGGCUAAGCGAAAGCGUUAAGUGUUCCACCUGGGGAGUACGGUCGCAAGAUUGAAACUCAAAGGAAUUGACGGGGGCCCGCACAAGCGGAGGAGCAUGUGGUUUAAUUCGAUGAUACGCGAGGAACCUUACCCGGGCUUGAAAGUUAGUGAAGGUAGCAGAGAUGCUACCGUCCGCAAGGACACGAAACUAGGUGCUGCAUGGCUGUCGUCAGCUCGUGCCGUGAGGUGUUGGGUUAAGUCCCGCAACGAGCGCAACCCCUAUGUUUAGUUGCCAGCACGUCA
Molecule: ribosomal RNA, 1121 nt
Filed under: Pedobacter yonginensis
Lineage: Bacteria; Pseudomonadati; Bacteroidota; Sphingobacteriia; Sphingobacteriales; Sphingobacteriaceae
Description: bacterial SSU rRNA
Rfam family: Bacterial small subunit ribosomal RNA
Source: RNAcentral